CGGAAAGUCCUUUAUCAAAUGGCAAAAUCGAAAGCUCAAACACAUCAAACGAAUGGAUAACAACUGUCAUAUUCCUGACUUGGUACAGGCAUUUUCUUAUGUAGAAAAUGGUGGAUUAAACCUGGUUUUAUAGCUAGCUAAACCUCUCAGACAGUCGCAUAAAAUUCCAUUAUAUUGACAACAAUGUGUGAACAAAACAAACAGACAUAAUAGGAAAAAGUCAAAAAUAGGGGCACAGCAGCCAACAUUGUGUUCUAAUCUUAAUCACUAUUAAAAAUGUGACAAAGCUAAAAAGUGUAAUUUCUAGGAAAUAUUCGGUUGGAGAUAUUUAACACUGUUCUACCAUAAUACCAUAUAGUGACAGGUGGACUACAGAAAGUUAAACACGAUAAAGUUACAUUGUUCCUAUAUCAUAAACCAAUAUUCAGGUGCAGCGUUACAACUUUACAUCAAAUACCAAAAAGGAUGUUCCUUUCUGUAAUUCUGGUUCUGUGUUGUAUAUCUGUGAUCGAGUCGAAAACAUGUGACAGAUCCAAGGAGAUAUCAAUGAUAUCUGAAAUGCGGUCAUUACUUGAGGCAUUCGAAAACAGGAUAAACGACGAUUCUUGCAAGUGCACUCCUAACUCAGAAGAGUGUCCAGCCGGUUGGAAGAAAUACAAGAAUCACUGCUACUUUUUUUCACCUGACGCAAAAACAUGGCAUGCUGCUGCUAAACAAUGUAAAAAUAUGAGAGGAUACCUUGUGAAAAUUACAGACUCAGCAGAAAAUUCGUG
Molecule: long non-coding RNA, 773 nt
Organism: Mytilus californianus (California mussel)
Lineage: Eukaryota; Metazoa; Mollusca; Bivalvia; Mytilida; Mytilidae
Exons: 4
Source: RefSeq, a predicted model, not a curated record